UACGUAGGGUGCGAGCGUUGUCCGGAAUUAUUGGGCGUAAAGAGCUCGUAGGCGGUGUGUCACGUCGUUCGUGAAAACCUGCAGCUUAACUGUGGGCGUGCGGUCGAUACGGGCAUCACUGGAGUUCGGCAGGGGAGACUGGAAUUCCUGGUGUAGCGGUGGAAUGCGUAGAGAUCCGGAGGAAGACCGGUGGCGAAGGCGGUCUGCUGGGCAGUUUCUGACACUGAUGCGCGACAGCGUGGGGAGCAAACAGG
This 254-nucleotide ribosomal RNA is filed under the name uncultured bacterium. Its description in RNAcentral is "partial 16S ribosomal RNA". It matches the Rfam family "Bacterial small subunit ribosomal RNA", at positions 524 to 776 of the family's 1533-position model. The record is from RNAcentral.